GUGCUCGCUUCAGCAGCACACAUACUAAAAUUGGAAUGAUACAGAGAAGAUUAGCAUUGCUCCUGCGCAAGGAUGACACGCAAAUUUGUGAAGUGUUCCAUAUUUCA
RNAcentral lists this small nuclear RNA (107 nucleotides) under Notechis scutatus (mainland tiger snake). Lineage: Eukaryota; Metazoa; Chordata; Lepidosauria; Squamata; Elapidae. The record is from RNAcentral.